GUUUUCCGGCGACUAAUAUUUUUGCCGGCCAGCCAUCCGUUAUUUGUUCUACUCUUUUUUCCGGUAAACCAUUUUUUAGACGAGGUUAAAAUGGCUGCACUUCACGGCGGAGAUGGUGGCAACGACCCUCCAAACUGGGGGUGGAAUCCCGAAUGGGGUUGUAGGCGUACGGGUGGUAUUAGCACAGGGAGAGCUGCUGCUGCUAACAACGAUCUGGAGCGCGAGUUUCAGAAUUCGGGACGCCGAAUCUCGCUUAUGUUAAAUAACGAU
Molecule: long non-coding RNA, 270 nt
Organism: Erigeron canadensis
Lineage: Eukaryota; Viridiplantae; Streptophyta; Magnoliopsida; Asterales; Asteraceae
Exons: 3
Source: RefSeq, a predicted model, not a curated record